UGGGGAAUAUUGCACAAUGGGCGCAAGCCUGAUGCAGCCAUGCCGCGUGUAUGAAGAAGGCCUUCGGGUUGUAAAGUACUUUCAGCGAGGAGGAAGGCAUUAAGGUUAAUAACCUUAGUGAUUGACGUUACUCGCAGAAGAAGCACCGGCUAACUCCGUGCCAGCAGCCGCGGUAAUACGGAGGGUGCAAGCGUUAAUCGGAAUUACUGGGCGUAAAGCGCACGCAGGCGGUCUGUCAAGUCGGAUGUGAAAUCCCCGGGCUCAACCUGGGAACUGCAUUCGAAACUGGCAGGCUAGAGUCUUGUAGAGGGGGGUAGAAUUCCAGGUGUAGCGGUGAAAUGCGUAGAGAUCUGGAGGAAUACCGGUGGCGAAGGCGGCCCCCUGGACAAAGACUGACGCUCAGGUGCGAAAGCGUGGGGAGCAAACA
Molecule: ribosomal RNA, 427 nt
Filed under: Caulobacter vibrioides
Lineage: Bacteria; Pseudomonadati; Pseudomonadota; Alphaproteobacteria; Caulobacterales; Caulobacteraceae
Also listed under: 2 other names
Description: partial 16S ribosomal RNA
Rfam family: Bacterial small subunit ribosomal RNA
Source: RNAcentral